Molecule: long non-coding RNA, 2978 nt
Organism: Mus musculus (house mouse)
Lineage: Eukaryota; Metazoa; Chordata; Mammalia; Rodentia; Muridae
Product: predicted gene, 53937
Exons: 3
Source: RefSeq, a predicted model, not a curated record
GGAGAAUGCCCAAUUAGGAGGGUAGCUGUGGGGGCAGGGCAUGCUGGGCCUAUGACACAGGGAGUGCUUGGGUUCAGGAAGGUUCCACACAGCCGUCAGCCACUGGCUGCAGCGCUUGGGUUCCACAGCCCUGCACCGUGAGGGCAGUGAGGAGUGACCCAGGAGGUCCAGUGACGCAGGUGCGCUGGAUGCGGAACUCAGCACAUAGAGAACUUGUAGCCAGCAACAUUGGUGUCGCCAGCAGUGUACACAGGCGGCUGCUCCUCACCUUGGGCUCUGAAGGGAAGCACAUGGGCUGAGUGUACCGAGGAGAGACUGUAUAUAGCCUGCAGCUUGGGACCUAGAAAGAAGACUUUAAGCAGAUCACUCAGUGACUACUCUCCCCUUCUGCCAGUUCAGUUUUCUAGAACUAUGUGGAGAUGCAGUGUAGUGAGGUGGGGGAAGGAAGCUACUUAGACAUCGUCUAAACCCAGACUUUGCAUUUCCCUGCCAGAGCUGGUCCCUAGGGUCUGAAGAUCUGGCAUGGGUCCCAGGAAGCAGGCUGUGGGUCCUCAAGAAACAGAACAGACCAUAGGACCUUGUGGACCUCCUCUUCUGUAGGGAUUAACAUCUGGUCUGGGUGCUAGCAAAUAGCCAGUGGAGCUGCUGGGGAGUAUGUCCCUGGAGGACAUGGCAAAUCCUACAAGUGGCUACAUGGAAAGGUUCUACAUGCAAAGGUUCUAACAGGUAGCUGCAUGCCUGGGCCUGUCUAGAUCAGAGCCAGCUACAGAGAGGCAGUGGUAAUGGGCAGAGACAAGGGCCAAAGUUAACGUGUGGACAGUGGGGUCUAAGGAGCAGAGGCGUCUGCUGCUCCAAAUCAGAGGUCAGGUGUGUAGGAGCGAGCCUGGCAGACAUCAGUCCCUGGAGAAUGUGAAGCUCUCCUCGGGUUAUCUCUCUGAUAUCGCAGAGCUGGAACUGGGUGCUUCCUGCCUCGGUGGACAGCUCUUGGUCUGUGGUCUCCAGGAGGAAGCAGAGGCAAGACACUGAUAGGUGCUGCUGGUGAUGAAAUUCAGACAAGAGGCAACGGAAGGAAGGAAGAGAGUGGCUGAGACCCGAGGCCAGUGAAUGUAGACUUUAUGGGUUGUGGGGUCCUUCAAGGAGGUCCUCACAGUAGAUAGCUCCACACAGAGAAGAUGCUCACCACAGGGUGUCACCUCCACAGGCUUCAGGAGGGCAGGUCCACAGGGUCCCAUGGUCUGUUCUGUUUCUUGAGGACCCACAGCCUGCUUCCUGGCUCUGCCCUGUUUCAGAGUCUGUCCAAUGAACUGGGUCUGCUCCACUCCUAAUGUAGCACCCUGUCCCUACAUGUCACCCUGGGGCCACCCUACUACAGAAUGAGCUCAGCUCCUCCUAGUCCAGAGUCCUCAGCUAGCUCUGGAGCCUGGCAGCCCUAGGGAGAUGAGGGACUGAAGGGCUGAUGACCUGCCUUGCUUGGAGCUGAAGACCAGCAACAGCAACACAUGGAGUCCCUGUGAUGAAGGACAGCUGAGGCAGGAGGGGAUGGAAGACAAGCUGGUGUUGAGGAAGGUCCAAGUGCUAUGAAGGCUCAGGGAAGAGAGAGGUGGUGUGGACUAUCUGGAUGGUUCUAACUACUCCACCUAAAGCUACGGCACUGACAUGGGGACUGUGCCAGAGGCCUCACGAAGCUGUAUCCUCUCAUGAUAAGUGAGGAGUGACUGUGGCCCAGGGUGAUGGGAUCAGGGUCUCUAAGCCCUGCCUCCUUUGCUCCUCUUUAUAUUGACCAGCCCCAGGUUGUUCCCCAUUGUUCCUACAGCUCUAUCCCCAGCCCUUAUGGGCCAUCAUUAGUACCACUGUUUUCCACCGCCUUUGUAAGGAAAAUCCUCCAUCUCCGAGCUGCUUCUUCUUCAUGAAUGGUGAUCCAGGGCUGGUGGGAGGCAGAGAAGGUGCUCUGGUGUCUGGCACAACUUCUGGGCAAGGAGAUCCUCGGUCACAGACCCUGAACCACGGCCAUGCAAGAUCCUGCCUUUCCACCUGGCCCUGCACAUGCUUCUGUUCCACUGUCACCAAGAGCCCACUAAUGGUAAAUGGUGUCACCAUCAGCUCUCCUAGGAUGCAGAAAAUUCUCUGUCAAACCCACCUCUUGGAGCCUCCCCAAUGCCAAUGCUGGCUAGGACACGAAGACUACCUGGUUCCAGCACCAUGACCUGAGCUGCAAGCCUUGGCGGCAUCAUUAAUGCAACUCUAGCACUCUGGUGUGAGGAGGGGGCCGCCCGGCUGCCGCUCCUCUUCCCGCCCUGAGAUGGAUGUUCCUUUAUUGCCCAUAAAUCUACGCACAGACUCUGUAAAGACAAACCGGAGGCCUGCUAGUCCCUUGUGUUUGUUGGGCUGGUAGGCUGUGGGUUUAAUUAGGCCUCAGCACUCGCAGGAGCAGCUCUGGAGAGUUGAGGGGCAGGCCACGCCAUGCUAGGUCUUCAAGAGAGCAGGAUCUGCGCAGGAGCAGGGUCCAACCCCUCGCUUUGUCUGGGGGAAUUCAGGUUGGUCCAUGUGAAGGAAUCAUAUAUCACUCACUCCUCCUUCAAACGUCUGUCUGUGUGGGUACACAUGCUGAGCCCUGCAAUGUGGUCUGCUCUUGCCCAUGUAACUCUGCAAUAGCCCAGGCCCAGGCUCGUCUGGGCAACCUUCAAGCAGUGACUGUCCGCCCUUAAGAGGUCUUCCUUUCUGUGCCUUCUGUUGGAACAGAGUAGGCACCUAAUGGAUACAUGCAGCAGAUGAGUGGGGCCCUACCUCUUCCUACCUGUGCUGAAGAAUGAAGCAUUUCUCCAGGCCCAGCCAUAGUACUGGCCCUGAGGGCAGGGUACAAAUGCUGAUACGCACAGCCUGCCAGCCUUCUGAGCCAGGAGGCUAUCUAAGCCAGGAAGGUAGGUAGGUAGGUAGGUAGGUAGGUAGGUAGGUGUAGCUUGUCCCCCACCACCCCUGUG